RNAcentral lists this ribosomal RNA (253 nucleotides) under uncultured bacterium. Its description in RNAcentral is "partial 16S ribosomal RNA". It matches the Rfam family "Bacterial small subunit ribosomal RNA", at positions 524 to 776 of the family's 1533-position model. The record is from RNAcentral.
UACGUAGGGUGCGAGCGUUGUCCGGAAUUAUUGGGCGUAAAGAGCUCGUAGGCGGUGUGUCACGUCGUUCGUGAAAACUCACAGCUCAACUGUGGGCGUGCGGGCGAUACGGGCAGACUGGAGUACUGCAGGGGAGACUGGAAUUCCUGGUGUAGCGGUGGAAUGCGCAGAUAUCGGGAGGAACACCGGUGGCGAAGGCGGGUCUCUGGGCAGUAACUGACGCUGAGGAGCGAAAGCGUGGGGAGCGAACAGG